Molecule: transfer RNA, 73 nt
Filed under: Erythranthe guttata (spotted monkey flower)
Lineage: Eukaryota; Viridiplantae; Streptophyta; Magnoliopsida; Lamiales; Phrymaceae
Description: Mimulus guttatus (spotted monkey flower) tRNA
Rfam family: tRNA
About the family: Transfer RNA (tRNA) molecules are approximately 80 nucleotides in length.
Source: Rfam by way of RNAcentral
GCCAGUCUAGCACAGUUGGUAGAGUGUAAGGUUCUUAACCUUGUGGUCGUGGGUUCGAGCCCCACGGUGGGUG